Long non-coding RNA from Rhineura floridana, 419 nucleotides. RefSeq lists it as uncharacterized. The record is from RefSeq and is a predicted model, not a curated record. NCBI's taxonomy places the organism in Eukaryota, Metazoa, Chordata, Lepidosauria, Squamata, Rhineuridae. The transcript is spliced from 3 exons.
GGAAGCUGUGCUACGAUGCCUCAUCCAUCGAUGCUUCUGGGAGGACCCUGGCAUCUGGCCAGGAGGAUAUCUGCAACGUGUCUCUCCCAGCUGGUUUCAGCGACUACUUUGAAGGACGCAACACAGAGGCCGCCUUCGAGUGUGUCACGAGGUGUGCCGGAGCCUUUCCUCCUCUUUGCUGCAAGUACGGCCAGUGCCGGGUCCCCCACUCUGGGCCCGAGUGCCAUCUAGCACCCUGUUGCCCAGGGCCCAGAGGCAAGGCAUGAAGGGAGGACUGUGAUGUUCCUAUAUUAAUGUAUAUAUGGUAAGUGUUGUUUUAGAAGAUACAUGGUAAGUGGAGUGAAAGAGGGGGAGUGAAUGGGCAGUAGAAUGCGAGAUGAUUGGCUGAGUGUUUAAAAUGGCUGAAUGUAUAAAAGGAA